CAAGACGUAGCUAUAACCCCA
This 21-nucleotide transfer RNA is filed under the name Amazonetta brasiliensis. Its description in RNAcentral is "partial tRNA-Val". RNAcentral also lists the same sequence under 2 other names. Lineage: Eukaryota; Metazoa; Chordata; Aves; Anseriformes; Anatidae. The record is from RNAcentral.